Long non-coding RNA from Ostrinia nubilalis (European corn borer), 587 nucleotides. RefSeq lists it as uncharacterized. The record is from RefSeq and is a predicted model, not a curated record. Lineage: Eukaryota; Metazoa; Arthropoda; Insecta; Lepidoptera; Crambidae. The transcript is spliced from 3 exons.
UGAGAAGAUUACGUUGAUAUAAAUUUUACGUGUUUUUGAGGCUUAAAUGUGGAGAUUAUGUGGUCGGCGAAUUUAUUUCCUUGUUUGGCAUCAUUUAGAUUGUUUAGAUGCUUUAAGUUAAGAGAUUAGGAAGCAUCCCAACAGCAGGUAUUUGACCACAAUCGCACAUGAUGUUAAGAGGGAUGCAGUCUAGGAUGGUACAUAUCUGCCCUGUAAGAUACCUACUUAUGUGACAAAUUGCCGGAAAGAUAGUCUUAUGGCAACAAAAAGAGUGUCCUUGGAACACAAGGCAAGUACAUAAUUUAUUCAUACAUUCUGUCUACUCUACAUACCACAUGAUUUCUUUGUCAUUUGAUAGAUAAUAAUUAUUACAGGUUAUAUUAUGUGCUAUGCAUUAAGAUGCAUCCAGUUCAUACCAAGGCACUGAUGGUAUGAAGAAGCAUUUGGAAUUACUUAACCAAUGCUCUCAAUACCCCCAACAUACUCGGAGAAGUAGGUACCUACCCUACCCAAACCUUACAAAGAUCCAGCUCCGGCACAGAAUAAGUAAUAGGACUAAGGUUCCUAGGCACACUUAAGAAAUACCA